UAGCAUAUCAAUAAGCGGAGGAAAAGAAACCAACAGGGAUUACCUCAGUAACGGCGAGUGAAGCGGUAACAGCUCAAAUUUGAAAUCUGGCGGCUAUCGUCCGAAUUGUAAUUUGUAGAAGAUGCUUUGGGCGUAGCUCUAUUCUAAGUUCCUUGGAACAGGACGUCAUAGAGGGUGAGAAUCCCGUAUGUGAUUAGUAGCUUCGUCCGUGUAAAGCUCUUUCGACGAGUCGAGUUGUUUGGGAAUGCAGCUCAAAAUGGGUGGUAUAUUUCAUCUAAAGCUAAAUAUUGGCCAGAGACCGAUAGCGCACAAGUAGAGUGAUCGAAAGAUGAAAAGCACUUUGGAAAGAGAGUUAAACAGUACGUGAAAUUGUUGAAAGGGAAGCGCUUGCAACCAGACUUGCAGGCUAUCGAUCAUCUAGGGUUCUCUCUAGUGCACUGGAUAGCUUUCAGGCCAGCAUCGGUUUGAGUGGUGGGAUAAAGGCCUUGGGAAUGUGGCUCUUCGGAGUGUUAUAGCCCAAGGUGCAAUGCCGCCUACUUGGACCGAGGACCGCGCUUCGGCUAGGAUGCUGGCGUAAUGGUUGUAAGCGACCCGUCUUGAAACACGGACCAAGGAGUCUAACAUCUAUGCGAGUGUUUGGGUGUCAAACCCAUACGCGUAAUUAACGUGAACGGAGGUAAGAACCCUUAAGGGUGCAUUAUCGACCGAUCCUGAUGUCUUCGGAUGGAUUUGAGUAAGAGCAUAGCUGUUGGGACCCGAAAGAUGGUGAACUAUGCCUGAAUAGGGUGAAGCCAGAGGAAACUCUGGUGGAGGCUCGCAGCGGUUCUGACGUGCAAAUCGAUCGUCAAAUUUGGGUAUAGGGGCGAAAGACUAAUCGAACCAUCUAGUAGCUGGUUCCUGCCGAAGUUUCCCCUCAGGGAUA
Molecule: ribosomal RNA, 922 nt
Filed under: Leochalara danxiashanensis
Lineage: Eukaryota; Fungi; Ascomycota; Leotiomycetes; Helotiales; Arachnopezizaceae
Description: partial large subunit ribosomal RNA
Rfam family: Eukaryotic large subunit ribosomal RNA
Source: RNAcentral